GUGUGACAUGUGUGUGACAUGUGUGUGACAUGUUAACAGCUGUUGGAUGCAUUAGGCUGGCGUUCAUGAUCCUCAUAGGAUACAUUGUCAUUUGAAUAUAUAUUCUACCUGUUAUUUAUCUGUUUGUGCUCUCAUAGGCCGCUCUGGAUGAAGGUUUGUGUCUUCAACGAGGUCUUCAUGAAGUGCUCACAGAACGAGAGUUUCUUCUUAACUGUCUGGGAACAAAAGUGACAAAGAAACUGGAGAAAAGUGCUUCAGAUGCUCUCAGUGAAAGCACGGCUGCACUCAAAACGUUAUCUAAACGCCUGAUCAGUCGAGGUCAUGGUGAAGUGCAGUUGGACAAAGAGUUGCCAGGCAGAGUUGCAGCGUGCAGUUUUGCUUCCCCCGAUGAAACUACAGCUCUGUGUCCUCCUGCUUCUUCUUCUUCUUCUUCUUCUUCUGAAAGUGGUCAGAACCCCAGUGUCACACUCCUGGUGGGACCUCCAGCGACAGAGCCACACAACUCCCCCCUUUCUACCAGUGAACAGCAAUCAGAAACAUUUGAGGCGGUCACAGAUGCUCGAGAACGAGAGAAACACUCCGAGGACAUCAGUGCGAUCCCAAAGAAAGUGUUUUCAAUAGUGUUGGACAUGGAGCAAAAUGAGAAUUACAGUCCAGACUUUGAAAGCCUUCAUCGGGCAGCACGCUCAGAGACAUUUAAAACAGUCACUGACGCUCGAGAGAAGAAGGAAUCCAGUGAGGAUAUCAGUGUGAGCCCAAGUAAAGUGUUUACAAUAGUGUUGGACAUGGAGAUGCCUGAGGACCGUGUUGCAGCCAGCCGUCCAGAUGUACUCAGACAGGAAGCAGAGGUGUGCGACGCUCAGCUCACAGACCAGUCAAGUAUUCUUGAGAAUACAUCCGGACUCUUUACAACACCAACGAGUCCUGAAUCAGAUGAAACGGACUUGAAUUAUUUAAUGAAUGAGUCUCAAGUGUUGGACUCACUGGCAGGAAACCCUCUGGUGUUAGUAUGUAGAGAAUCGGAGGAUUCUACAAGCGCCAGAAUAUCCUGCAAAGAAAAGCCAGACACCCGUGAAUUAAUGCACAUUGAGGUGUUGAACUCCUCCAAAUCAUGUGGCGGUGUUACUGAAUGUCUGCUCACCGGCGCACGUGCAGCAGCAACAACAUCUCCGGAAGUCAAACAAGAGAAGAAGACAGAUUUCUGGCACGCCGGAGAGCAAACGACGAGCUCAGUCUUGUGCACGGUGGAAGGAGAAGCUUUAACUGACACACGAAUACCUGCCGGUGACAAUAAACAGCUGACUGUUGCUGACACGGCACAGAGCGCAGGAACGGGACAGGAGCAGAGGGCAGACGGGGGUGACACGGUAGAAGCAAGUGACCCUGAACACACGCAGUCCAAACUUUUGAAAGGGCCAAAAAGACGAGACAAAGCUGCGCAGCUGUUUGAAGAAGGUGAAUGGAAGGGACCUGCAUCGCUGGAGGACACGGAGGACACACAGGGGCAGCCGCAGAUCCAAGACAGCAUGGAGCCUGCGAGGACGGCGGCCGAUCUGCCGGUCGAGGAGGCGACAGGCGGAUCACCAGAGUCCUACAAACACAAGUCCACCAUGCAGGACGUUUUGUCUGACAUCCAGAGCUUGGUGGAAAAAAGUAACAUCAUAAAUCGGAACCCACACAUUGAUUUGAACUGGUACCUGAAGUCCUCUCCGGGUGAACCUGAGAUUCGAUUGGUACGAACUGUCCAAAAGGUUCUGGCAUGUCGUUAUCAACCAGCACAACUCGACGUCCCCGUAAUGGCCAAACAACUGCAGGAGGCAGAGGUAUGCACGUCUGCUAAACCCUUUUCCUUUGUUGUGACAAAUGUACUUAACUUUCUCUAAAUGAAGUACAAAAUACAAAAGAUGUCCCAUCGUUCUAUCUGUCGUCCCGCUCUGUCUGCUGUAGGACUACAGGCGCUGUGUGCAGGAGCAAGUUGCUACUAUGAAGAGCAUGAGCGCUGCCAGGAUUUGUCACCCAGAUGCCUUGAGCAGAGUUGAAGGACAGUGCAGUGCUGCGCUGCUGGACGCCUCUGCCACUGUGCAGGUCAAAGCAGCACAGCUGGAUCAGGUCCAACAGUACCACAAACAGAUGAAGAUCACCAGAGCUUUCCUGGAGGUUGUAGCAGCUGAGAAGGACAAGAUAACCUUGU
Molecule: long non-coding RNA, 2191 nt
Organism: Cottoperca gobio
Lineage: Eukaryota; Metazoa; Chordata; Actinopteri; Perciformes; Bovichtidae
Source: Ensembl